RNAcentral lists this ribosomal RNA (497 nucleotides) under uncultured bacterium. RNAcentral describes it as "partial 16S ribosomal RNA". It matches the Rfam family "Bacterial small subunit ribosomal RNA", at positions 28 to 507 of the family's 1533-position model. The record is from RNAcentral.
GAUGAACGCUGGCGGCGUGCCUAAUACAUGCAAGUCGAGCGAACAGACGAGGAGCUUGCUCCUCUGACGUUAGCGGCGGACGGGUGAGUAACACGUGGAUAACCUACCUAUAAGACUGGGAUAACUUCGGGAAACCGGAGCUAAUACCGGAUAAUAUAUUGAACCGCAUGGUUCAAUAGUGAAAGACGGUUUUGCUGUCACUUAUAGAUGGAUCCGCGCCGGAUUAGCUAGUUGGUAAGGUAACGGCUUACCAAGGCAACGAUGCGUAGCCGACCUGAGAGGGUGAUCAGCCACACUGGAACUGAGACACGGUCCAGACUCCUACGGGAGGCAGCAGUAGGGAAUCUUCCGCAAUGGGCGAAAGCUUGACGGAGCAACGCCGCGUGAGUGAUGAAGGUCUUCGGAUCGUAAAACUCUGUUAUUAGGGAAGAACAAAUGUGUAAGUAACUAUGCACGUCUUGACGGUACCUAAUCAGAAAGCCACGGCUAACUACGUG